GACGAACGCUGGCGGCGUGCCUAAUACAUGCAAGUAGAACGCUGAAGGAGGAGCUUGCUUCUCUGGAUGAGUUGCGAACGGGUGAGUAACGCGUAGGUAACCUGCCUGGUAGCGGGGGAUAACUAUUGGAAACGAUAGCUAAUACCGCAUAAGAGUGGAUGUUGCAUGACAUUUGCUUAAAAGGUGCACUUGCAUCACUACCAGAUGGACCUGCGUUGUAUUAGCUAGUUGGUGGGGUAACGGCUCACCAAGGCGACGAUACAUAGCCGACCUGAGAGGGUGAUCGGCCACACUGGGACUGAGACACGGCCCAGACUCCUACGGGAGGCAGCAGUAGGGAAUCUUCGGCAAUGGACGGAAGUCUGACCGAGCAACGCCGCGUGAGUGAAGAAGGUUUUCGGAUCGUAAAGCUCUGUUGUAAGAGAAGAACGAGUGUGAGAGUGGAA
Molecule: ribosomal RNA, 446 nt
Filed under: Streptococcus pneumoniae
Lineage: Bacteria; Bacillati; Bacillota; Bacilli; Lactobacillales; Streptococcaceae
Description: bacterial SSU rRNA
Rfam family: Bacterial small subunit ribosomal RNA
Source: RNAcentral